This 401-nucleotide ribosomal RNA is filed under the name uncultured bacterium. RNAcentral's name for it is "bacterial SSU rRNA". It matches the Rfam family "Bacterial small subunit ribosomal RNA", at positions 356 to 774 of the family's 1533-position model. The record is from RNAcentral.
GGGGAAUCUUGCACAAUGGGGGCAACCCUGAUGCAGCGACGCCGCGUGAGCGAUGAAGCCCCUCGGGGCGUAAAGCUCUUUCGUCCGGAACGAUAAUGACGGUACCGGGAGAAGAAGCUGCGGCUAACUACGUGCCAGCAGCCGCGGUAAUACGUAGGCAGCAAGCGUUGUUCGGAGUUACUGGGCGUAAAGAGUGCGUAGGCGGUUUUCUAAGUUCGGUGUGAAAUCUCCCGGCUUAACUGGGAGGGUGCGCCGAAGACUGGGAAGCUGGAGUGUGGGAAAGGCAGGCGGAAUUCCUGGUGUAGCGGUGAAAUGCGUAGAUAUCAGGAGGAACACCGGCGGUGUAGACGGCUUGCUAGACCAUAACUGACGCUGAGGCACGAAAGCGUGGGUAGCAAACA